Molecule: ribosomal RNA, 300 nt
Filed under: uncultured Lactobacillus sp.
Lineage: Bacteria; Bacillati; Bacillota; Bacilli; Lactobacillales; Lactobacillaceae
Description: bacterial SSU rRNA
Rfam family: Bacterial small subunit ribosomal RNA (bases 52-300)
Source: RNAcentral
GGUGAGGAGAGUGCAGGAGAGGGGGUAAUCGGUGGGGGGGAAGGGGUGGACGGGUUAGUUGGGCGUAAAGCGCGGUUAGGAGCCCCGGCAGGACCGUUGUGAAAACGGGAGGCUCAACUUCCAGACGGCGAUGGAAAGCGCCCGGCUAGAGUCCGGAAGAGGAGAGUGGAAUUCCUGGUGUAGCGGUGAAAUGCGAAGAUAUCAGGAAGAACACCAAUGGCGAAGGCAGCUCGCUGGGACGGUACUGACGCUGAGACGCGAAAGCGUGGGGAGCGAACAGGAUUAGAUACCCUAGUAGUC